GACGAACGCUGGCGGCGUGCUUAACACAUGCAAGUCGAACGGAAAGGCCCUGCUUUUGUGGGGUGCUCGAGUGGCGAACGGGUGAGUAACACGUGAGUAACCUGCCCUUGACUUUGGGAUAACUUCAGGAAACUGGGGCUAAUACCGGAUAGGAGCUCCUGCUGCAUGGUGGGGGUUGGAAAGUUUCGGCGGGUGGGGAUGGACUCGCGGCGUAUCAGCUUGUUGGUGGGGUAGUGGCUUACCAAGGCUUUGACGGGUAGCCGGCCUGAGAGGGUGACCGGCCACAUUGGGACUGAGAUACGGCCCAGACUCCUACGGGAGGCAGCAGUGGGGAAUAUUGCACAAUGGGCGGAAGCCUGAUGCAGCAACGCCGCGUGCGGGAUGACGGCCUUCGGGUUGUAAACCGCUUUCGCCUGUGACGAAGCGUGAGUGACGGUAAUGGGUAAAGAAGCACCGGCUAACUACGUG
Molecule: ribosomal RNA, 468 nt
Filed under: uncultured bacterium
Lineage: Bacteria
Description: partial 16S ribosomal RNA
Rfam family: Bacterial small subunit ribosomal RNA
Source: RNAcentral